Molecule: non-coding RNA, 146 nt
Organism: Triticum aestivum (bread wheat)
Lineage: Eukaryota; Viridiplantae; Streptophyta; Magnoliopsida; Poales; Poaceae
Source: Rfam
GUUGCUUCACAACUGGAAGGAUGGCCUGUUGUUUAUGGUUUGGUCAUCCUGUAGAGGGGAGCAUAGAUGAGCGGAAACACCGGCCAGCAUUUAACAGCACGGGGCUUUAUGGAACCGCCCCGUGUUAUCUGUCUUCUGUUACAUUU